Molecule: long non-coding RNA, 1720 nt
Filed under: Sus scrofa (pig)
Lineage: Eukaryota; Metazoa; Chordata; Mammalia; Artiodactyla; Suidae
Description: lncRNA (ENSSSCG00000059176.1)
Source: RNAcentral
AGAGGGAGGAAGGGAGAGCAUGAUGAAGGAACAAGGUGCAAUGAUUCUCUGCAUGAAUGGAGAGACUGGCUUUAAUUUGGACAGAGUGUCUCUCUGCAGUGAGAGGAAGGAAGGCUGAAGGUGUGGGUGCAGAUAUGUGUUAACAGGAGGUGGGGUUGCAGCGUCCGAGAAAGUUAUCUUCUGCGCAGAAGGAUGAAGGAGGAAGAGUUGGAGUCUGGAGGAUGGAGGCUCAGCCAGGAGACGGGACCAUCAGUCUUACAUCCUUGGCUGGCGGACAGAGUGGAUUUUCUGACAGGAGCUGUGUUAUGCACUGGGUAAGUCUGGCUGAACUAGUUCGUGCUAUGCUGCAAAUGUGUGAUGCAUUUUGUGGACUGCUACAGAAGAGUUGUUCUGAAUUGUAAAUAUCUCCUUAGUAAAUGCUUAUAAGGUAACUAGUUAGCAAGUUGGGAACUGGUGGUACUAAAUUUUACCUUAAGGUUUUUGGAGAAUCAAUAUAAAUUUAACAGGUAUUUAAGAGCAAAGGAAAUAUUUCGGCAGAAGGAACAAUUUAGGAUAACAAGAAAAAAUGAACCUGGAGUUCCCGUGGUGGCUCGGCAGAAACGAAUCCGACUACGAACCACGAGGUUGCGGGUUUGAUCCUUGGCCUUGCUCAGUGGGUUAAGGAUCUGGAGUUGCCGUAAGCUGUGGUGUAGGUUGUAGAUGUGGCUCGGAUCUGGCAUUUCUGUGGCUCUGGCAUAGUCCUGUGGCUACAGCUCCAAUUAGACCCCUAGCCUGGGAAUCUCCAUAUGCUGUGAGUGUGGACCUAAACGAACAAAAGAUUAAAAAAAAAAAAGAAAAGAAAAAGAAAAAUGAACCUUUUUUUGUCCAAUGCACUACUGAAUUUGGAUCACAAGUGGUAAGCUUUUUUCUGUGUGUCUUGCAGAGGGGCCAAUCAGCAGCAAAUACUUCUUGAAAAAUAUGUGGUGUAUAAUAUGAAACUUGUUUUUCAGAGGCGAGACUAUGUUGGAAUAUAUCCACGUGAACAUACAUGCAGGGCUUGGAGGACCCAGGAAAACAUAUAUUCAUCCACUGUUAGUUUUCUCUUUCACAUCUCCCACUCCCCACACUGGAAUUUUAGCACAACUAAAUGCCAAGAGUAUAGAUUUGUGAAAAAACUGAUUGAAUGUAGAACUGAUGUUACAUCUUAAAUGUGUCUGAGCUGCCAAGUAGCCUCUGGAAUGCAGCUGGCCAAACAUGUUAAAUGAGAGAAAGGGUACUCCAAAAUUAAUUUCCAGAGGUGGACUCUAAAAAUAUUCUUUUAGGGGCUUGUCUACAUAAGUGGCUUGGAGGAACUAACUUAUACUCAAUAAUUCAGCUAUCUAAGCAAUGGCAUUUCUUGAGCUGUUUUGUCAGUUUUGUAAAACUUGGAGAGCAUAAUUUUAAUUUUAAAUUUAUUUUAAAUUUCAAGUUAUUUUAUAAUUUUUUGCACAAAAGCAACUUCAGAAUUUUUCCAAAGUUUGUUAUCAUUGGGCAGAAGUUCUGAGUUUCUAAGGACCCUGGGAAUAAACAACAACCACCUAUAGUGAAUCGAAAGUAUGAAUCAACUAAUUCUCAUAUUGGGACAAGAAUGCAGCAGUUUGAGGUAGUUGAGCUUGAUUACUUCUCAUCCUGGAUAGGCUUCGUGCUUUCCCUCUGUCUGCCCAACUUUAAAAGGGACAUCCGAAUUGUAUUUUAGCCAAUU